UAUAAGUGAUGGCGACCGGCGCACGGGUGAGUAACACGUAUCCAACCUGCCGAUAACUCGGGGAUAGCCCUUCGAAAGAAAGAUUAAUGCCCGAUGGUAUAAUAAAACCGCAUGGUUUAAUUAUUAAAGAAUUUCGGUUAUCGAUGGGGAUGCGUUCCAUUAGGCAGUUGGUGAGGUAACGGCUCACCAAACCUUCGAUGGAUAGGGGUUCUGAGAGGAAGGUCCCCCACAUUGGAACUGAGACACGGUCCAA
This 253-nucleotide ribosomal RNA is filed under the name uncultured bacterium. RNAcentral's name for it is "partial 16S ribosomal RNA". It matches the Rfam family "Bacterial small subunit ribosomal RNA", at positions 80 to 334 of the family's 1533-position model. The record is from RNAcentral.